RNAcentral lists this ribosomal RNA (280 nucleotides) under Ruminococcus bromii. Its description in RNAcentral is "partial 16S ribosomal RNA". It matches the Rfam family "Bacterial small subunit ribosomal RNA", at positions 497 to 776 of the family's 1533-position model. The record is from RNAcentral. Lineage: Bacteria; Bacillati; Bacillota; Clostridia; Eubacteriales; Oscillospiraceae.
UAUGGUAAGUGCCAGCAGCCGCGGUAAUACGUAGGGAGCAAGCGUUGUCCGGAUUUACUGGGUGUAAAGGGUGCGUAGGCGGCUUUGCAAGUCAGAUGUGAAAUCUAUGGGCUCAACCCAUAGCCUGCAUUUGAAACUGCAGAGCUUGAGUGAAGUAGAGGCAGGCGGAAUUCCCCGUGUAGCGGUGAAAUGCGUAGAGAUGGGGAGGAACACCAGUGGCGAAGGCGGCCUGCUGGGCUUUAACUGACGCUGAGGCACGAAAGCGUGGGUAGCAAACAGG